RNAcentral lists this long non-coding RNA (496 nucleotides) under Pandoravirus neocaledonia. Its description in RNAcentral is "hypothetical ncRNA". The record is from RNAcentral.
UGCGCGUCGUAGGGCACGCCCAGUUCGGCGGCAAAGCGCGCCAGGCGCUCGUCCUGUUCGGACGUGCGGCGUGCCUGACCGCACAGGCCGACAGCCGCCGACACCUGUGGUCGCACCGACGGCGCUGGACGCUUGACGCCUCUCCGCAUGCUUGUUCUAGGUCGUUCCAUCGUCGGCGUUGGCUCUUUUCUUUUCCUUUUGUUUUUUUUUGAUGUCACCAGAGGCAGGUCGAGACCGACUGAUCGAGGACGACGAACGUGUAUGGGUGCGGCGAGACUUUUGUACAGUGUAUGACCCAAUUUGGUGGCACGCUCACACCAGUGGCAAACAACCUACUCGCUCAAUCGCCCGCCUGUGUGUCCGACAUCCCGUCAAAGAAAUUGAAAGUCUACGAAAGAGACACAGGGAGAGAGCGCGCGAGCAAAGCGAGGUGGCAAAGGGCAAUGCCAAAUUUAUUUGUUGGAGUGAAUGACCUCAAAGAAAAGGCCUGCGAGGC